UGGGGAAUAUUGGACAAUGGACCGAGAGUCUGAUCCAGCAUUUCUGUGUGCACGAUGAAGUUUUUCGGAAUGUAAAGUGCUUUCAGUUGGGAAGAAAAAAAUGACGGUACCAACAGAAGAAGUGACGGCUAAAUACGUGCCAGCAGCCGCGGUAAUACGUAUGUCACAAGCGUUAUCCGGAUUUAUUGGGCGUAAAGCGCGUCUAGGUGGUUAUGUAAGUCUGAUGUGAAAAUGCAGGGCUCAACUCUGUAUUGCGUUGGAAACUGUAUAACUAGAGUACUGGAGAGGUAAGCGGAACUACAAGUGUAGAGGUGAAAUUCGUAGAUAUUUGUAGGAAUGUCGAUGGGGAAGCCAGCUUACUGGUCAGAUACUGACGCUAAAGCGCGAAAGCGUGGGUAGCAAACAGG
RNAcentral lists this ribosomal RNA (407 nucleotides) under bacterium. Its description in RNAcentral is "partial 16S ribosomal RNA". It matches the Rfam family "Bacterial small subunit ribosomal RNA", at positions 355 to 776 of the family's 1533-position model. The record is from RNAcentral.